UCCUAUUUAGCAAGCACGUUCUCCAGACUGUAAACCUCAGAAGACACGACCUGCCAGGGACAAAAAUUUAAGAGUUGUGAAAAAAACCCCAAGUGAGACAUUAUUCCAAAGAAUUCAGGUCUCCUGUGUCACAGGGGCCUUGCAAAGGUGAAACAGUGUCGGUAACCUUCAAGGCACACAAAGAGGUACCAGCAAAGUUGCCCUUCUGAUGUUCAGAAUGGUGCAGGUGAAGCUGCAAUCCAUAGCCUGGUGGAUUUUCGAUCCACGCCUGGCAAGAUGACUGAUCCGUCACAGGAUGGCUUUUUAACGGGGUUGAGAUUCACUACGAGCCACCACAUCUUUUUCAACAGAGAGCUUCAACAGCCACAAUACCUUGUCACUUCAGAGACACCUGGAUUUCUGCAGCUAUCUUUGUCCAUAAAUGAAUUAUGGCUAGGGCACAAGGACAAUUUAAUUAGCAGCUGAUCCGGGUUAUUGGGCUUUGUGCCAAACUUCAAGCCAACUUCUUAGAGGACUCGCUAUCCUGGGUUCCCGCGGCCGAGAGGAGGAAAGAUCUGCCCCGCCACCCACACACUGAAAAGACGACGAAGCACGGGAAGACUCCCACCUCAAAUCACCCGAGUCCCCCGAGAUUCGCAUUUAUUCUCCAAUGUACAAGGGGAGAAGCACAAUCUGAGCAGGGCUCUUAGGCAGCCUUCAAGGCUAGGUGGCUGCUGACACACCAGGAUCGAGAUCCUCUUUUGUACAGAGAAAAAAAUGCUGAAAGACAAAGGCAGACACAGACAAAGCCCAAGAAAACGUGUGUGGUUUGCGCCACCCCACCCCCCACCCCCCUGCCCUGCACACUCCAGGCCAGGCCGCUCCCGGUGUUUCAGGGAGGGGAGACCCUGCACUCAGACUGGCUCCUCUUCUGAUGCGACCUGCUUGACAUGCUGUCGUCAUUCCGGCCAACGAGGAAGGCAGCAAGGCCACCUCAGCACGCGUCUGCUCCCUUCCCUGCUCCCCUGACAAGAGCUGGGCGGUCAGUCUACACACAUGGAAGACAGAGGGCACCAAAAAGCUCUGUGAAUAAAACUUUAAUAAUGUACAGCAGAAAUUGGACAGGCUCAUUCUUAUAUUAAAACAAAAGAUUUCCUAUAUUACAACUUAUUUACAUUUGCAUACUGAAGAGGUAAAGUGUCUAAGUGGCUAUUUUACAGUCCUUUCUAAUAAAAUGUA
This is a long non-coding RNA of Herpailurus yagouaroundi (jaguarundi), 1218 nucleotides long. RefSeq lists it as uncharacterized. Lineage: Eukaryota; Metazoa; Chordata; Mammalia; Carnivora; Felidae. The record is from RefSeq and is a predicted model, not a curated record. The transcript is spliced from 2 exons.